UACGGAGGGGGCUAGCGUUGUUCGGAAUUACUGGGCGUAAAGGGCGCGUAGGUGGCCACUUCAAGCGUGCGGUGAAAGUCGGGGGCUCAACCCCUGAUCGGCCGUGCGAACUGGGGGGCUGGAGCACUGUAGAGGCAGGCGGAAUUCCGGGUGUAGCGGUGGAAUGCGUAGAGAUCCGGAAGAACACCGGUGGCGAAGGCGGCCUGCUGGGCAGUUUUGCUGACACUGAGGCGCGACAGCGUGGGGAGCAAACAGG
Molecule: ribosomal RNA, 256 nt
Filed under: uncultured bacterium
Lineage: Bacteria
Description: partial 16S ribosomal RNA
Rfam family: Bacterial small subunit ribosomal RNA
Source: RNAcentral